This 361-nucleotide long non-coding RNA is filed under the name Prunus persica (peach). RNAcentral describes it as "long non-coding RNA (PPER_LNC006378)". The record is from RNAcentral. Lineage: Eukaryota; Viridiplantae; Streptophyta; Magnoliopsida; Rosales; Rosaceae.
GCAUUCUUGGUAGUUUCAAUUUUGUGGAAGAAAAUCGUUACUUGUGGUGCCAUCGUAUCUGGUUUUGUUAACCUGUGAAAAACACAAAUAAAUAAAACAAACAUUAGUCACUUUAUGAUUGGAGAUGAAAAGGUAAAUGGGUCCCACCGGGCUUGCCCAAAAUUAUGUUGAAGUAAAAUUGUGAUCUUCCUAAUAUAAUUUCACCACCGCUAAUUAAAUAAUGGGGUUUUAUUAUUUUAUGUUCGACCCAUUCGAGACGCAAGUCUCUUAAUUACAAUCCCUUGCUUCAAGGAAAAACCCUUUGAUUCCAUCAUAAAGAAACAGAACGUGUGUGUUUGAUUUUGCAGCUGCUCCCAAGUCC